RNAcentral lists this long non-coding RNA (1258 nucleotides) under Sus scrofa (pig). Its description in RNAcentral is "lncRNA (ENSSSCG00035007318.1)". Lineage: Eukaryota; Metazoa; Chordata; Mammalia; Artiodactyla; Suidae. The record is from RNAcentral.
ACUCGCAGGGCUCUCACUGCUCGCGGUGCGGCAGCCGCGCGCGGACUCCGCUGCGCCUCCGAGGGGGCCAGGCACGCGGUCAAGAUCUGUGGCCACUGGUUCCCAUGGUUUCGAGGCACCAUGAGGCUCGCUGGCUCCUGGAAACUUUGGCUUUGGGCAGCACUUCUCCUGCUUCCUGCUUCCACUUCCGUGACGGUUAGGGACAAGCCAGAAAAGCAGUGUCCUGUACUGAGAACAGAGGAGCAUCAGUUUACACAAGACAAUGGAGAUAAACUUGAAGUUUCAGGUUUUGACCUAGGAGAGAGUUUUUCUAUGAGACGUGUGUUUUGUGAAGGUGAUAAAACCUGUUUCAAAUUGGGAAGUUCUCUUCUUAUUAGAGACACCAUUAAGGUAUUUCCCAAAGGCCUUCCUGAGCAUUUCGCGAUGGUGGCCAUGUUUCGGGUACGAAGAAGCACCAAAAAGGAACGGUGGUUUCUGUGGCAGGUUUUAAACCAGCAGAAUAUGCCACAGGUGUCUAUAGUAAUUGAUGGUGGAAAGAAGGUGGUGGAGUUUAUGUUCCGAGCUGCCGAGGGAGAUGUGUUGAACUUCAUUUUUAAAAAUCGAGAACUCCGUUCUUUGUUUGAUCGUCAGUGGCAUAAACUUGGCAUUGGCAUACAAUCCCAGGGCAUUUCACUCUAUAUGGACUGUAACUUAGUUGCAAGCCAGAAUACUGAUGGAAAAGGUGCUUUGGACUUUCGUGGAAGGACAAUUAUUAUGGCUCGAGCUUCAGACGGCAGGCCUGUGGAUGUUGAACUUCACCAACUUAAAAUCUACUGUGACUUGAACUUCAUAGCUCAAGAAACUUGUUGUGAGAUGUCAGACACUAAGUGCCCAGAGCAGGUUGGCUUUGGAAGUACUGCAUCUUUAUCAGUACCUGCGUAUGCCAGUCGAAUGUCUGCAUUUCUGCCAGCAAAGCAGGAACUAACAGACCAGUGCCAGUGUAUUCCAGAGAAGGGAGAAGCAGGAUUACAGGGAGCUCCAGGCUCACCGGGCCAGAAAGGAGACAAAGGACAGCAGGGUGAAGUUGGUCUUAAAGGUGAAUCAGGCGCUCCUGGAAUUCCUGGUGAAAAGGGUGAAAAUGGUUUACAUGGAGUUCCAGGAUUACCCGGUCAAAAGGGAGAGCAAGGUUUUGAAGGCCUUAAAGGAGAAAUUGGUGAAAAGGGUUCGAAAGGCGAUGUGGGUCCUCGUGGUCCACCUGGCCCAAAAGGAGAAAAGGUAC